GUGCCAGCAGCCGCGGUAAUACGUAGGGGGCGAGCGUUACCCGGAAUUACUGGGCGUAAAGGGGGCGUAGGCGGCCCGGCAAGUCAAGUGUGAAAUCCGGCGGCUCAACCGCUGGGCUGCGCUUGAAACUGCCGGGCUUGAGUGCAGCAGAGGGAGACGGAAUUGCCGGUGUAGGGGUGAAAUCCGUAGAUAUCGGCAAGAACGCCGGUGGGGAAGCCGGUCUCCUGGGCUGUUACUGACGCUGAGGCCCGAAAGCUGGGGGAGCGAACCGGAUUAGAUACCCGGGUAGUCCUGGCCGUAAACGAUGGAUGCUAGAUGUGGGCGGGGAGACCCGUCCGUGUCGCAAGCUAACGCGUUAAGCAUCCCGCCUGGGGAGUACGGCCGCAAGGUUGAAACUUAAAUGAAUUGACGGGG
This 414-nucleotide ribosomal RNA is filed under the name uncultured prokaryote. RNAcentral describes it as "bacterial SSU rRNA". It matches the Rfam family "Bacterial small subunit ribosomal RNA", at positions 505 to 918 of the family's 1533-position model. The record is from RNAcentral.